UCAAAUUUUAUAUGACAAUAUUUCACUGGCCAACAAUUACUUGUUAAUUUGAGCGUGGUUCCAAUCUACUCAUUUCCACUCUUUUUGAAUAACAAAACUAGGAAAGAGGAAUCAAUUUCAAAGACAAUCAGUGCAAAGCCUAAGAUGAAAGAAAUCAAUAGAAAGCUAAAGAGCAGAAAAGGAGUAAAAUGAAAUAUCAUCAGUAUAUGUUAAAAUCAUAAGAUUUAUUGAAAUUAUAUAAUGCCAUUAUUAUUCAUUGCUAUUCUAAUGUACAUAAAGCCCAGCCAUGAUGCAUAUAAUAUAAGGUCAGAAACCCAUACAAAAAUUGUUGCACUCUUCCAUAAUAUCCACCAGUUAGCUAUUUACAACUCCACCAUGAAUCAGAGUGAAAAAAGAAGAAAGAAGAAGAGAAGAAAGAACUGAACUUGGACUUCAAAAAGUCUUGAAGAUUCAACUACUACUAGUCAUGCCAACAUAGUAGCAUGAUCACACACCUUCUUAUUAUGUAUAGCUUAGCCCUUUGCUCUCUGAGCACCCUUCCAACUCCUUUGCUUGAUACCCUUCUCUUUGAUCCUCCCAUGGUUGCAUUUCCCAUCUUCAUUUCUUUGCUUCAACUCUUAUUAAUGAAAUGAGGUUUCUUUUCUUAUGCUUAAGCUUCGAACUUGUGUUAUGUAGUGUGAGUGACUUGGUUUAAAAGAGAUGGAGGGGUUCUUAUAGGACUUGGGGUUGUGGUCAAUAAUCACUCCUUGCUGUAGUGAAGAGGCAAAAGAUGGGGCAUGAAAGGGUGUGCAGUGCCUCAAAACCAAGGAAUCAAACAAUAAUUGGACCCCACCUUACCUCAAG
This 843-nucleotide long non-coding RNA is filed under the name Lupinus angustifolius (narrow-leaved blue lupine). Its description in RNAcentral is "long non-coding RNA (LANG_LNC003603)". The record is from RNAcentral. Lineage: Eukaryota; Viridiplantae; Streptophyta; Magnoliopsida; Fabales; Fabaceae.